RNAcentral lists this ribosomal RNA (750 nucleotides) under uncultured bacterium. Its description in RNAcentral is "bacterial SSU rRNA". It matches the Rfam family "Bacterial small subunit ribosomal RNA", at positions 43 to 804 of the family's 1533-position model. The record is from RNAcentral.
CAGGCCUAACACAUGCAAGUCGAACGGAAAGGCCCUGCUUUUGUGGGGUGCUCGAGUGGCGAACGGGUGAGUAACACGUGAGUAACCUGCCCUUGACUUUGGGAUAACUUCAGGAAACUGGGGCUAAUACCGGAUAGGAGCUCCUGCUGCAUGGUGGGGGUUGGAAAGUUUCGGCGGUUGGGGAUGGACUCGCGGCUUAUCAGCUUGUUGGUGGGGUAGUGGCUUACCAAGGCUUGGACGGGUAGCCGGCCUGAGAGGGUGACCGGCCACAUUGGGACUGAGAUACGGCCCAGACUCCUACGGGAGGCAGCAGUGGGGAAUAUUGCACAAUGGGCGGAAGCCUGAUGCAGCAACGCCGCGUGCGGGAUGACGGCCUUCGGGUUGUAAACCGCUUUCGCCUGUGACGAAGCGUGAGUGACGGUAAUGGGUAAAGAAGCACCGGCUAACUACGUGCCAGCAGCCGCGGUGAUACGUAGGGUGCGAGCGUUGUCCGGAUUUAUUGGGCGUAAAGGGCUCGUAGGUGGUUGAUCGCGUCGGAAGUGUAAUCUUGGGGCUUAACCCUGAGCGUGCUUUCGAUACGGGUUGACUUGAGGAAGGUAGGGGAGAAUGGAAUUCCUGGUGGAGCGGUGGAAUGCGCAGAUAUCAGGAGGAACACCAGUGGCGAAGGCGGUUCUCUGGGCCUUUCCUGACGCUGAGGAGCGAAAGCGUGGGGAGCGAACAGGCUUAGAUACCCUGGUAGUCCACGCUGUA